UUAUCCGGAAUGAUUGGGCGUAAAGGGUGCGUAGGUGGCAGAACAAGUCUGGAGUAAAAGGUAUGGGCUCAACCCGUACUGGCUCUGGAAACUGUUCAGCUAGAGAACAGAAGAGGACGGCGGAACUCCAUGUGUAGCGGUAAAAUGCGUAGAUAUAUGGAAGAACACCGGUGGCGAAGGCGGCCGUCUGGUCUGUUGCUGACACUGAAGCACGAAAGCGUGGGGAGCAAAUAGGAUUAGAUACCCUAGUAGUCCACGCCGUAAACGAUGAGAACUAGGUGUUGGGGGAAUAACUCAGUGCCGCAGUUAACGCAAUAAGUUCUCCGCCUGGGGAGUAUGCACGCAAGUGUGAAACUCAAAGGAAUUGACGGGGGCCCGCACAAGCGGUGGAGUAUGUGGUUUAA
RNAcentral lists this ribosomal RNA (404 nucleotides) under uncultured bacterium. Its description in RNAcentral is "bacterial SSU rRNA". It matches the Rfam family "Bacterial small subunit ribosomal RNA", at positions 541 to 949 of the family's 1533-position model. The record is from RNAcentral.